This 301-nucleotide ribosomal RNA is filed under the name uncultured bacterium. RNAcentral's name for it is "partial 16S ribosomal RNA". It matches the Rfam family "Bacterial small subunit ribosomal RNA", at positions 509 to 807 of the family's 1533-position model. The record is from RNAcentral.
CAGUCGCCGCGGGAAUACAGAGGGUGCGAGCGUUAAUCGGAUUUACUGGGCGUAAAGCGUGCGUAGGCGGCUUUUUAAGUCGGAUGUGAAAUCCCUGAGCUUAACUUAGGAAUUGCAUUCGAUACUGGGAAGCUAGAGUAUGGGAGAGGAUGGUAGAAUUCCAGGUGUAGCGGUGAAAUGCGUAGAGAUCUGGAGGAAUACCGAUGGCGAAGGCAGCCAUCUGUCCUAACACUGACGCUGAGGUACGAAAGCAUGGGGAGCAAACAGGAUUAGAUACCCCUGUAGUCCCUGUCUCUUAUAC